This 400-nucleotide ribosomal RNA is filed under the name uncultured bacterium. RNAcentral's name for it is "bacterial SSU rRNA". It matches the Rfam family "Bacterial small subunit ribosomal RNA", at positions 355 to 769 of the family's 1533-position model. The record is from RNAcentral.
UCGGGAAUAUUGGUCAAUGGGGGAAACCCUGAACCAGCAAUGCCGCGUGAGUGAUGAAGGUUUUCGGAUCGUAAAGCUCUGUCUUAUGGGACGAAUAAGGUGACGGUACCAUAGGAGGAAGCCCCGGCUAACUACGUGCCAGCAGCCGCGGUAAUACGUAGGGGGCGAGCGUUGUCCGGAAUUACUGGGCGUAAAGGGCGAGUAGGCGGUUAUACAAGUCAGAUGUGAAAUACCAGGGCUUAACCCUGGGGCUGCAUUUGAAACUGUAUAACUUGAGUGCAGGAGAGGAAAGUGGAAUUCCCAGUGUAGCGGUGAAAUGCGUAGAUAUUGGGAGGAACACCAGUGGCGAAGGCGACUUUCUGGACUGUAACUGACGCUGAGGCGCGAAAGCGUGGGGAGC